Molecule: long non-coding RNA, 933 nt
Organism: Chinchilla lanigera (long-tailed chinchilla)
Lineage: Eukaryota; Metazoa; Chordata; Mammalia; Rodentia; Chinchillidae
Source: Ensembl
GUAUUUCUUUGUCUUGUAGUGCUUUUGAGGUCGAAGGAAAAGUCAGACUUGGAUGAAAAGAGGAGCAUCUCAUUGAGUGAGGCCAGAGGAAAGGAUUUAAGUUUGACAGAAAGCCACAUCUUCUGUGCAGUAGCAGCUGUGCUCCUGAGACAAGAUGGUUAAUGUCAGAGUAAACAGAUUGGUCUGUACUGGGCGUUGGCCCCCAGCCUGCUUCCAACUCUGCUGAAGUUGUCACCAUCCAUGGCACCUUCAUCGAUGUCCUUGCAUGGUCAACAUGUUUCAGUGUGAUUUCACCCAUUUCAAGUGUGCACUGUCAUGCUGAAGGCCAAGAACAGGAAGUUUAUCAGCAAUGGUCAAGGUGGUUUUCGAAGACAGACGGUGUGGAUAGAGACACCACCUCCUCAGUCCCGUCUCUGCCCAGACACAUCUGCCCCAGGAACACUCAACUGUUGACUGAUCCUGCAAGACUGUUGAUGCUUUAUUUUUUUAAGAAGAAAAACUACCUUUUUCCUUCUGUGCAUAUCACAUACCAUCAGAAGCGGAGGCAUGAUGACCUGGCAAACAGCCUAGGAAGAAUCUGGGACUUAGCAAGUGGCUGCACCUGAGGAAUUCAGGUGUCUGGCCCAUACCCCUACAGUGUGGGACCCACAGCCAGCCUGUGAGGAAUCUGAGACUUGGCACCAGCCUGCCAGAACAGUUCGAGUGCCCGGCCCCUCUCUGUACAUCACAGGACCAGGCCACCUGGGGAAUGCCAGCCACAUGGUAGGACCCCGACUAGUGCACACAGGAUGUACAGACAAGACUAGCAAGAUGGAAAAGUCCAAUAUAUGAGCCAAAAGGUGGUAAGUUAGGUUAACCAGCAUUGUGCUCAGGGACAAAGACAUAAGAAAUAGGAGCAGGUGGGUGGGGCUAUCCCCUUUUUUAUAAUAUAAU